This 305-nucleotide ribosomal RNA is filed under the name uncultured bacterium. RNAcentral describes it as "bacterial SSU rRNA". It matches the Rfam family "Bacterial small subunit ribosomal RNA", at positions 330 to 655 of the family's 1533-position model. The record is from RNAcentral.
ACCCGCCUACGGGACGCAGCAGUGGGGAAUAUUGCACAAUGGGGGAAACCCUGAUGCAGCGACGCCGCGUGAAGGAAGAAGUAUUUCGGUAUGUAAACUUCUAUCAGCAGGGAAGAAAAUGACGGUACCUGACUAAGAAGCCCCGGCUAACUACGUGCCAGCAGCCGCGGUAAUACGUAGGGGGCAAGCGUUAUCCGGAUUUACUGGGUGUAAAGGGAGCGUAGGCGGCGAUGCAAGUCAGAAGUGAAAGCCCGGGGCUCAACUCCGGGACUGCUUUUGAAACUGGAUGGCUAGGUUGCAGGAGG